GACGAACCGUGCGAACGUUAUUCGGAAUCACCGGGCUUAAAGCGCGUGUAGGCGGGACGGCACGUCGGUCGCUGAAAUCCCCCGGCUUAACCGGGGAACUGGCGUCGAUACGACCGCCCUGGAGGGGCGUAGGGGGACCUGGAACUUCCGGUGGAGCGGUGAAAUGCGUUGAGAUCGGAAGGAACGCCCGUGGCGAAAGCGAGGUCCUGGACGCCUACUGACGCUGAGACGCGAAAGCCAGGGGAGCGAACGGG
This 254-nucleotide ribosomal RNA is filed under the name uncultured bacterium. Its description in RNAcentral is "partial 16S ribosomal RNA". It matches the Rfam family "Bacterial small subunit ribosomal RNA", at positions 524 to 776 of the family's 1533-position model. The record is from RNAcentral.